Long non-coding RNA from Thalassophryne amazonica, 321 nucleotides. RefSeq lists it as uncharacterized. The record is from RefSeq and is a predicted model, not a curated record. The transcript has 2 exons. Lineage: Eukaryota; Metazoa; Chordata; Actinopteri; Batrachoidiformes; Batrachoididae.
UAACUUUUCCCCAAAAGUGCGCAGCUUUGGCUCAGACUGUGUGUUCGGGACGGUUCUGCUUCUUUGUGUGCUUCUGGACCUGAAGCUCGACUUUGCAGAAUGGAUCGGGACCGCGCAUUGACUCACUUUGCUGACUAAACUGAGUCUCUGAGAUCCCACUGAUGUCAUACUUGCGAUUCGCUGACAUACAGGAAGUGGUUACAAGAGUUUAGCCUCCAGUCUUCAAACCUCUUAGACAAACAGAGAAAGGAGUUGAAGGCCACUUCAGCCGCAGCUGGUCUCUGAAAAGCUCCGCUUCCAACAGCAGAUCCUCUCUAUGAA